CAAGGUCAUUUCUAAGUGGGAUGAUUUAAUAAUCUUUGGAAUUCUGCAUGAUUUGGACAGAUUUCUCACUGAAAAUCUGUUCUUUUACAUGACCCUGAGUCCCUGAUGAAUUCUGUAAAUUUAGGCGUAGGGUUGACUUUUAAGGUAAUGUUAGUAUAAGAAAUUCAUACAAUAGUCUGCAUGUACCACCAUUUUUUGUUGAACUUGUACAAAUUUUCCAGAUGAGGUUGGAUCAGUCCUUAUGAAUGUUGAAUCAAUGUUUAUAAAUAUGGUAAUUUGAAAGCUUUUUUUACAAAUUAACAGCAGCUGGUUUUAAAGCAAGAAAAAAAGACAUCCCAUUAAUUACAGUUGAGUUUAAGAUUGAAAUUUUACUGUUACAAUCAGGGCAUCAUGACCCCAAAUACACCCCACCACAGAUCCAUCUUCUUUCCUUUCUCUGUGGUUACAAAAAGGUCAAGAAACAGUAGGUACAUGUAGCAGUAAACUGCUGUACAGUAAAUGUCUCAUAAAAUCAGUGAUAACACAUACAAGUUUUAUUUGGCUACUGACAGUACUGUCCAUAAUGUAUGUGUUACCUUCAAAUAGUUUGGAAUCGUUUUUAAUUUUUAUCACGUUAUUUUACUGUUGAUUUUUAUUUGUAUAUAAUCAAUUUGCUUUAGUCAAGAAUUUUAGUAUAUUGAAGGACUUUUUGUCUUAUUUUAAAAAUAUGCUUUAAAUUGUAAAAAUAUUCGAAUUAGCUCUCGCCGCGAUAUAGCCUUUUUGUGCUAAUGCGGCGUAAAGCAACCAACAAUCAAUCAAUCAAUCAAAUAGUUUGGAUAGUUUACCUUGAUUAUCUGACAAAAAAGCCAUAUUCAUGAUAUUGUGGAAUGAAAAAGAACUGAC
RNAcentral lists this long non-coding RNA (882 nucleotides) under Mytilus galloprovincialis (Mediterranean mussel). The record is from RNAcentral. Lineage: Eukaryota; Metazoa; Mollusca; Bivalvia; Mytilida; Mytilidae.